UUGGUGAGGUAAGGGCUCACCAAGGCGACGAUCCCUAGCUGGUCUGAGAGGAUGAUCAGCCACACUGGAACUGAGACACGGUCCAGACUCCUACGGGAGGCAGCAGUGGGGAAUAUUGCACAAUGGGCGCAAGCCUGAUGCAGCCAUGCCGCGUGUGUGAAGAAGGCCUUCGGGUGUAAAGCACUUUCAGUCGUGAGGAAGGUAGUGUAGUUAAUAGCUGCAUUAUUUGACGUUAGCGACAGAAGAAGCACCGGCUAACUCCGUGCCAGCAGCCGCGGUAAUACGGAGGGUGCGAGCGUUAAUCGGAAUUACUGGGCGUAAAGCGCAUGCAGGUGGUUUGUUAAGUCAGAUGUGAAAGCCCGGGGCUCAACCUCGGAAUAGCAUUUGAAACUGGCAGACUAGAGUACUGUAGAGGGGGGUAGAAUUUCA
This 429-nucleotide ribosomal RNA is filed under the name Vibrio alginolyticus. Its description in RNAcentral is "bacterial SSU rRNA". It matches the Rfam family "Bacterial small subunit ribosomal RNA", at positions 249 to 671 of the family's 1533-position model. The record is from RNAcentral. Lineage: Bacteria; Pseudomonadati; Pseudomonadota; Gammaproteobacteria; Vibrionales; Vibrionaceae.